Molecule: long non-coding RNA, 690 nt
Filed under: Musa acuminata (dwarf banana)
Lineage: Eukaryota; Viridiplantae; Streptophyta; Magnoliopsida; Zingiberales; Musaceae
Description: long non-coding RNA (MACU_LNC006180)
Source: RNAcentral
GCAAACCGCCUUCACCGCCACCGUGAUCCGUAACCCUAACCAUAACCCGCGGCCAAUCUCCCGAUCCGUCGGCGGCGCCGGCGAUGCCCUCCUUCUCCUCCGCCAACCUCCUCGAGCUGGUAGCCGGCGACGACUCCGACUUCGCCGCCUCUCCCCUCCGCCCUCCUAUUCUCCCCCGCCUCAUGGACGCUGCCGCCGACUAUGAUAGCCCCCCCGCGUCACCGUCGCAGCGGGAGCGGAGGAUCAUCGUUUCCCACCGCCUCCCCCUCCGUGCCGCCACUGACCCCGCCUCGCCGGGCGGCCUAUCCUUCUCCCGGGACCCCGACGCGCUUGCUCUCCAGCUGCACUCCGGCCUCCCGCCCGCCGCUGAGGUUGUCCAUGUCGGCACCCUCGCUGCCACCGUCGACCCCGUCCACCACGCCGCCGUCUCCCGCAUCCUCUUCGACCGCUUCCGCUGUCUUCCUGUCUUCAUCCCCGCUGACCUCCACCGCCGGUUCUACGACGGGUUUUGCAAGCACUAUCUCUGGCCCCUCCUCCACUACCUCCUCCCUCUCUCGCCGUCCUCCCUUGGCGGCCUCCCCUUCGACCGCGCCCUCUGGCUUUCCUACCUCUCCGCCAACAAGCUCUUUGCCGACCGCCUCAUCGAGCUCCUCAACCCGGACGACGAUCUAGUGUGGAUCCACGACUACC